RNAcentral lists this ribosomal RNA (695 nucleotides) under uncultured bacterium. RNAcentral's name for it is "bacterial SSU rRNA". It matches the Rfam family "Bacterial small subunit ribosomal RNA", at positions 32 to 715 of the family's 1533-position model. The record is from RNAcentral.
AACGCUAGCUACAGGCUUAACACAUGCAAGUCGAGGGGCAUCAGUUUGGUUUGCUUGCAAACCAAAGCUGGCGACCGGCGCACGGGUGAGUAACACGUAUCCAACCUGCCUCAUACUCGGGGAUAGCCUUUCGAAAGAAAGAUUAAUAUCCGAUAGCAUAUAUUUCCCGCAUGGGUUUUAUAUUAAAGAAAUUCGGUAUGAGAUGGGGAUGCGUUCCAUUAGUUUGUUGGGGGGGUAACGGCCCACCAAGACUACGAUGGAUAGGGGUUCUGAGAGGAAGGUCCCCCACAUUGGAACUGAGACACGGUCCAAACUCCUACGGGAGGCAGCAGUGAGGAAUAUUGGUCAAUGGACGCGAGUCUGAACCAGCCAAGUAGCGUGAAGGAUGACUGCCCUAUGGGUUGUGAACUUCUUUUAUAUGGGAAUAAAGUUGUCCACGUGUGGAUUUUUGUAUGUACCAUAUGAAUAAGGAUCGGCUAACUCCGUGCCAGCAGCCGCGGUAAUACGGAGGAUCCGAGCGUUAUCCGGAUUUAUUGGGUUUAAAGGGAGCGUAGGCGGAUUGUUAAGUCAGUUGUGAAAGUUUGCGGCUCAACCGUAAAAUUGCAGUUGAUACUGGCAGUCUUGAGUGCAGUAGAGGUGGGCGGAAUUCGUGGUGUAGCGGUGAAAUGCUUAGAUAUCACGAAGAACUCCGAUUG